Non-coding RNA from Camelina sativa (false flax), 729 nucleotides. The record is from RefSeq and is a predicted model, not a curated record. NCBI's taxonomy places the organism in Eukaryota, Viridiplantae, Streptophyta, Magnoliopsida, Brassicales, Brassicaceae.
AAAUGGAUUACUUUGCAAAAACCUGUGUCUCUCAUCUCAUGAUGCAUGGCUUUUUCGAUUGGUUUGCAAAGAGGUCAAGGAUUUUACACAGAGCUUUCAACAAUGUGCAGAAAAAAGUGACAAAUCAGACUAUGAUUUUCAAGUUAGAGGAUAUUAAUACAUGUGGAAUGGACCCAACAUCUCUGCAAGAUAAAUCAGGUUACGUCCCAAUUAUAAAAACUAUUUAAGUUAAAUAAAAUCAUACAAGUUUUACAAUAUAGUAUGUUGCUACGAAAAAAAAAAAUCUCAUAGUGGUAACAUUACAAAUGUGAAGAAAAGUAAAACCUUACAAACAGUUCUAAAAAAAUGUUCUGAAAACAAAAAGCAAUGGUUGUUCAAUGUUCAUCCAAGAUACAAAUCAACUUCCCACCACAAAAAUGAAACGAAUCGAAGGACAGAGCUGUUUGAAAUUGCAUGAGGUGGAUAGCUAGGUGUUUGAGGAGCAGGAGGUGGAGAAUGUAUUCGAAAUAGCAUUUCAAGACUGUUUAAUGGAGAAAUUUUGAUUUCUUAUGGUAUUGUUCGGUUAUUAUCUUCAAGUUCAUAUCCAUGUGGCGAGAAUUAGACUAACUCUUAACAAGAAAUCUUUCACAUUAGACUAGGCCACAAAUCUUUCACAUUAGAUAUGCUUUCCUAGGUUAAUUAAUCUACAUUGUAUAGACAAUAUAUAAUGAAAAUAUUUACUUUCUUACU